AUUGAACGCUGGCGGCAUGCCUUACACAUGCAAGUCGAACGGUAACAGGUCUUCGGAUGCUGACGAGUGGCGAACGGGUGAGUAAUACAUCGGAACGUGCCUAGUAGUGGGGGAUAACUACUCGAAAGAGUGGCUAAUACCGCAUGAGAUCUACGGAUGAAAGCAGGGGAUCGCAAGACCUUGUGCUACUAGAGCGGCAGAUGGCAGAUAAGGUAGUUGGUGGGAUAAAAGCUUACCAAGCCGACGAUCUGUAGCUGGUCUGAGAGGACGAUCAGCCACACUGGGACUGAGACACGGCCCAGACUCCUACGGGAGGCAGCAGUGGGGAAUUUUGGACAAUGGGCGAAAGCCUGAUCCAGCAAUGCCGCGUGCAGGAUGAAGGCCUUCGGGUUGUAAACUGCUUUUGUACGGAACGAAAAGCCCUGGGUUAAUACCCUGGGGUCAUGACGGUACCGUAAGAAUAAGCACCGGCUAACUACGUGCCAGCAGCCGCCGUAA
RNAcentral lists this ribosomal RNA (498 nucleotides) under uncultured bacterium. RNAcentral's name for it is "partial 16S ribosomal RNA". It matches the Rfam family "Bacterial small subunit ribosomal RNA", at positions 30 to 523 of the family's 1533-position model. The record is from RNAcentral.